This 73-nucleotide transfer RNA is filed under the name Cryptosporangium aurantiacum. Its description in RNAcentral is "tRNA_Gln_TTG". It matches the Rfam family "tRNA". Rfam says of the family: Transfer RNA (tRNA) molecules are approximately 80 nucleotides in length. Their secondary structure includes four short double-helical elements and three loops (D, anti-codon, and T loops). The record is from RNAcentral. Lineage: Bacteria; Bacillati; Actinomycetota; Actinomycetes; Cryptosporangiales; Cryptosporangiaceae.
UCCGGGGUGCUCUGACGGCUGGGCAGCCGCGCUUUGGACGCGGUCUACGUGGGUUCGAGUCCUACCCCCGGAG